AAGGAUCAUUAUCGAAUAAACUUGAACAGGCUGUUGCUGGUCCCAGGACAAUGUGCACGCUUGUCAUCUUUAUCAUUUUCUCCAACUGUGCACGUAUUGUAGACCCUGGAUUUGUUCCGAGUGGGGACUGCUGUGCUUCAAAAGAAGUCGGCUUUCCCUUGAAGGUCUAUGUUCACAACCUCUCGAAUUUGUUUAGAAUGUCGAAAUAAAAAAGUUAAUAAAUACAACUUUCAGCAACGGAUCUCUUGGCUCUC
Molecule: unclassified non-coding RNA, 254 nt
Filed under: uncultured fungus
Lineage: Eukaryota; Fungi
Description: partial contains 18S rRNA, ITS1, 5.8S rRNA, ITS2 and 28S rRNA
Source: RNAcentral